RNAcentral lists this ribosomal RNA (506 nucleotides) under uncultured bacterium. RNAcentral's name for it is "partial 16S ribosomal RNA". It matches the Rfam family "Bacterial small subunit ribosomal RNA", at positions 29 to 523 of the family's 1533-position model. The record is from RNAcentral.
AGUGAACGCUGGCGGUAGGCCUAACACAUGCAAGUCGAACGGCAGCACAGGAGAGCUUGCUCUCUGGGUGGCGAGUGGCGGACGGGUGAGGAAUACAUCGGAAUCUACUUUUUCGUGGGGGAUAACGUAGGGAAACUUACGCUAAUACCGCAGACGACCUACGGGUGAAAGCAGGGGAUCUUCGGACCUUGCGCGAUUGAAUGAGCCGAUGUCGGAUUAGCUAGUUGGCGGGGUAAAGGCCCACCAAGGCGACGAUCCGUAGCUGGUCUGAGAGGAUGAUCGGCCACACUGGAACUGAGACACGGUCCAGACUCCUACGGGAGGCAGCAGUGGGGAAUAUUGGACAAUGGGCGCAAGCCUGAUCCAGCCAUACCGCGUGGGUGAAGAUGGCCUUCGGGUUGUAAAGCCCUUUUGUUGGGAAAGAAAUCCAGCUGGUUAAUACCCGGUUGGGAUGACGGUACCCAAAGAAUAAGCACCGGCUAACUUCGUGCCAGCCGCCGCAGUAA